GAUGAACGCUAGCUACAGGCUUAACACAUGCAAGUCGAGGGGAAACGACAUCGAAAGCUUGCUUUGAUGGGCGUCGACCGGCGCACGGGUGAGUAACGCGUAUCCAACCUGCCCAUCACUUGGGGAUAACCUUGCGAAAGUAAGACUAAUACCCAAUGACGUCUCUAGAAGACAUCUGAAAGAGAUUAAAGAUUUAUCGGUGAUGGAUGGGGAUGCGUCUGAUUAGCUUGUUGGCGGGGUAACGGCCCACCAAGGCGACGAUCAGUAGGGGUUCUGAGAGGAAGGUCCCCCACAUUGGAACUGAGACACGGUCCAAACUCCUACGGGAGGCAGCAGUGAGGAAUAUUGGUCAAUGGGCGGAAGCCUGAACCAGCCAAGUAGCGUGAGGGAUGACUGCCCUAUGGGUUGUAAACCUCUUUUAUAAGGGAAUAAAAUACGGGACGUGUCCUGUUUUGCAUGUACCUUAUGAAUAAGGACCGGCUAAUUCCGUG
Molecule: ribosomal RNA, 491 nt
Filed under: uncultured bacterium
Lineage: Bacteria
Description: bacterial SSU rRNA
Rfam family: Bacterial small subunit ribosomal RNA
Source: RNAcentral